CCUUGAUAACUUUAGCAACACUUCAUAUAAAACAAAGAUUGUAUACAUUCAGUAAUUAUUUUUCAACGAUGAAGCUCGUUAGCUUAUUUCUGGUUUUGUCUAUUGCAACCCUAGUCAGCUGUAGUUAUGAACAAACGGAUAUCGAUGUUGUCUCCAACUAUCAAGAUUCGCCCGACACACGGUAUGGCGAUGCUGGAAACGAUCACAAAAACAUUUUCCGACGUUCUAAAGAGAGUCAUAUGAGUAAGGUUGAGAAGGAACUCCUGAAGCUGUUCGAGGAGAUUGUACCUUUGAUACAGCACGUGCCUUGGAAGUGGAUCGCUGAGAAAAUUAAGGAAUAAAUUAAUAUUUUUCGUGUGAA
Molecule: long non-coding RNA, 361 nt
Organism: Leptidea sinapis
Lineage: Eukaryota; Metazoa; Arthropoda; Insecta; Lepidoptera; Pieridae
Exons: 2
Source: RefSeq, a predicted model, not a curated record